UGCGUAGGCGGCUAUGUAAGUCAGAAGUGAAAGGUCCCGGCUUAACUGGGGAAUUGCUUUUGAUACUGCGUAGCUUGAAUAAGGUUGAGGUUAGCGGAAUGUGGCAUGUAGCGGUGAAAUGCAUAGAUAUGCCAUAGAACACCAAUUGCGAAGGCAGCUGGCUAGACCUUUAUUGACGCUGAGGCACGAAAGCGUGGGGAGCGAACA
This 207-nucleotide ribosomal RNA is filed under the name uncultured bacterium. Its description in RNAcentral is "partial 16S ribosomal RNA". It matches the Rfam family "Bacterial small subunit ribosomal RNA", at positions 568 to 774 of the family's 1533-position model. The record is from RNAcentral.